This 253-nucleotide ribosomal RNA is filed under the name uncultured bacterium. RNAcentral's name for it is "partial 16S ribosomal RNA". It matches the Rfam family "Bacterial small subunit ribosomal RNA", at positions 524 to 776 of the family's 1533-position model. The record is from RNAcentral.
UACGAAGGGCGCUAGCGUUGUUCGGAAUCACUGGGCGUAAAGCGCACGUAGGCGGCUGUGUCAGUCAGGGGUGAAAUCCCGGAGCUCAACUUCGGAACUGCCUUUGAUACAGCACAUCUUGAGUCCGGAAGAGGUGGGUGGAAUUCCUAGUGUAGAGGUGAAAUUCGUAGAUAUCAGGAGGAACACCGGUGGCGAAGGCGGUUCUCUGGGCCUUACCUGACGCUGAGGAGCGAAAGCGUGGGGAGCGAACAGG